UACGUAGGUGGCAAGCGUUAUCCGGAAUUAUUGGGCGUAAAGCGCGCGCAGGCGGUCCCUUAAGUCUGAUGUGAAAGCCCACGGCUCAACCACAAGCGGUCAUUGGAAACUGGGGAACUUGAGUACAGAAGAGGAGAGUGGAAUUCCACGUGUAGCGGUGAAAUGCGUAGAUAUGUGGAGGAACACCAGUGGCGAAGGCGACUCUCUGGUCGGUUUCUGACGCUGAGGUGCGAAAGCGUGGGUAGCAAACAGG
Molecule: unclassified non-coding RNA, 253 nt
Filed under: uncultured Caryophanales bacterium
Lineage: Bacteria; Bacillati; Bacillota; Bacilli; Caryophanales
Description: uncultured Bacillales bacterium contains 16S-23S intergenic spacer region
Rfam family: Bacterial small subunit ribosomal RNA
Source: RNAcentral